UAAACGUUUUAAUUGGUGCGUGGUAGUUUCCUUUAAGUCGCUGCUGUGAAGAAAAUUGAUGCUAUAGCAAUGAAGACCGUACACGAAAAGGACUUGCUUUUCCUGCUGCUCCUUGCUAGCUUUUUUGACUCAUCUUACUGUGAGGGUUACGAAGAUUACACAGGGCCUAUUGAGACAAUAUCCGUAACCACUGCUGUUCCUCUAUCAAGCAGAUCAGAGAACAUGUCCGUAACAACAGAAGCUGCAAAAAUUGCUAAAGUUAAUGAGUUUUUCCUCAGAUGAACAUAUAUGCUUUCAAAUCGAUUCGAGAGACUACUGUUUAAAAACUAGUUUCAAAUCUGUGGCGCAAUGGAAGGACUCAAUUGCUCAAUGUUCAGCAAUCGGAGCUACAUUAGUUACGAAUUUAACCAGCACUCUAAUGUCGGACAUUUCAUCAAAAUUGCACCAAAUUUUUUCAGAGCUAAAAAUGAGUGAAUCAGUCAAGUUUAUCUGGGUUGGUCUUUCUUACACUGGCGACAGCAACGGAAACUUCGAGUGGUUGAAUAAAGAGAAGCUCAGCAGUGAAAGUGCCUUGUGGGAUUCAGGAUUCUACGGAGGUCAACCUAAUAACCAUGAUGGAAGAGUUGGGGAAUCCUGUGCAGCUCUCCAAAUCCAAACAGCCAAAUUGGUCGACUUAAAUUGUAACAGACCACAAUUCUUCAUGUGCACAAAAGAUGACUGAAGCAGAGAUGACUCGGUUCUCAACGUUUUCUUUAUCUUCGGCAUAAGUAAAUAAAAUUCAAUUCACAUUG
Cloeon dipterum is the source of this 791-nucleotide RNA transcript. It is a transcript of the gene named C-type lectin domain family 4 member M-like, with no coding region annotated. The record is from RefSeq and is a predicted model, not a curated record. The transcript is spliced from 7 exons. NCBI's taxonomy places the organism in Eukaryota, Metazoa, Arthropoda, Insecta, Ephemeroptera, Baetidae.